GAGAAUUUGAGGCUCUAUUUAUAGCUUGAAUGUGUUCUUUUGUCCCAAUGUAUUUUGGAUUGUUCCUUUGCCUUUCUGAUGUAUUUCUAGAAUUUAUUUCUUUUGUCUCCGAUGCAUUUAUGGAUAUUCCUUGCAUUUCUGAUGUAUUUUUAAAAUCGAUCUGAUGUAUUUUUUGAUGUUUUCUUUUCUCUCCUAUGUAUUUCUGGAAGUGUAUUAUGUUUUGAUGUAUAUCUAGAACCUU
Molecule: long non-coding RNA, 241 nt
Filed under: Lathyrus oleraceus (garden pea)
Lineage: Eukaryota; Viridiplantae; Streptophyta; Magnoliopsida; Fabales; Fabaceae
Description: Pisum sativum (pea) long non-coding RNA (PSAT_LNC004381)
Source: RNAcentral